AUGGCGACCAGUUCUUUGAAUGACAAUGAACUUGAAGAAUGUUGCCCAAAAUUUGCAGAAACUUUCUCUCUUAAUGGUUCAUCUGAUGUUGAGGUAUACGAUCUUAUUUCUGAAUUGAAGAUUAUGAGAUUCACUUUGCCAGAUGGGGUAAUGUCUGCUAUGGAGAUUUUCGGGUGUGUCAAAGAAGUUCAUUGUUAUCCUAAUAUCUCCAUUGCCUAUCGCAUCUUGUUUACUAUGCCUGUGACGGUCGCAUCGGCUGAAAGAAGCUUUUCAAAUUUGAAAUUAUUGAAGAAUUAUUUGAGGUCACCAAUAACUCAAGAUAAGUUAAAUGGUUUGGCUACAUUAUGCAUCGAGGAGAAAUUGUUGGAUGAGAUUGGCAUCGACCCCAUCAUAAGUGACUUUGCAUCGAGGAAUGUUAGAAGAAAAUUUUAA
This 432-nucleotide ribosomal RNA is filed under the name Triticum aestivum (bread wheat). Its description in RNAcentral is "partial small subunit ribosomal RNA". The record is from RNAcentral. Lineage: Eukaryota; Viridiplantae; Streptophyta; Magnoliopsida; Poales; Poaceae.